Small nucleolar RNA from Cannabis sativa, 107 nucleotides. Lineage: Eukaryota; Viridiplantae; Streptophyta; Magnoliopsida; Rosales; Cannabaceae. The record is from RefSeq and is a predicted model, not a curated record.
AUCUCGUGAUGAGGACACUUUCGGAUCAGGUCUUUGAAUCUCUUCCAGGCUUCAUAAAGGGACUCAUUAUCUUGCUGGAUGAAGUAAUUGAUCUCCGAUCUCAAUCU